GUGUUUAUCUCUAGUAUCUGUUGUCGGUACUGAGUUGAGAGCUCGGCAGUCAGUUUGCUUGCUUAAGUCGCUCAGGUGCGACACAGGUGAUCUCGGUUAAAUCCAAUGACGAGUGAGUGUUCGGAGCUGGUAGCAGGUGGAAGUGGUUUGCACUGGUUUAGUGCUUGAAGUGUCGAGUCAGUAUUGUAACAAACGGUAAAGCGUGCAUCUCAAAAAAGUGAUAAGAAUUUGAAAAGCAACGUUUGUGUAUAACAAAGAUUUAAAACAAAAAAAUCAGUAUUUGAUUUUGUGUCUUGAAAGAAUAAUAGCCAGAAAUUAUCAACAUGAUCAGCUUACAUAGUGUUUUGAAUGUUAUUGUUAUUUCGAUAAGUGUGAUUCAUAUUCGUGCACAAAUAGAUGAGAAAUUCCAUUAUUCAACAAAUAAUGGAGGAAAAUUUGAUGGAAAUACGUAUGUACAAUUUUCGGAGCCACCAGAUGAAGUUCCUGAUUAUAAUGUCAACGAGAUACCAUUAGAUCUAAUGAUGCAAAUCAGCAGUAUUUCAAAUGUUUCGGAAUUUAUUGACCGAUUCGUGGAUAAAAAGACAAUAGAUCCCAGGGACGGUAUUUUAAAUGGUGAUGUAGACGUUCUGCAACGAAGUAUUGGCAGAAGACCAGUUCCAGCUGUUUGUAUACCCAGUGAUACAAUUGUUAGGCUUCAACCGGAUGAACCACAUGCAAGUAAUGUUAUAUACAUUCCGUCGUGUACUAGGGUAAAGCGGUGUGGUGGAUGCUGCAAUCAUGCACAGUUGGCAUGUCAACCUAUUGAAACUGAACAAAUAACUUUUGAGGUUAUUAAAGAAAAAUACGUGGGUGGUGGAAAGUUCGUACACGAAAAUAAGGCACUCGUUGUAGUGGAGCAACAUAAGCGGUGCAGAUGCAGUUGUCGCAAGAAAGCUUCGGACUGUAAUUCGUUUCAAAAAUAUAUCGAGUCGCAAUGUUUAUGUUCUUGCACAAAUUACGAGGACAGGGAGAAAUGUUUGGGCACAAUUGACCGCAUUUGGGACCCAGAAAACUGUCUAUGUCGAUGUAAACAGGUGCAUGAAUGUACAACAGGAACAUUUUACGAUGAAAACAUUUGCGGUUGCUCACCGAUAGACUAUUAAAUUGGGUUUACAAAGCAUACAUACAUACAUAAAAACUAUACCCACGAAUGAUUAAAAUUUGUUCAUUCCCUUAGUUUAGUUUUUAUAUAAAUUAUGAACAGAAUAUCAGUAAAAAAUAAACUUGCAUUUACAAUUACUAACUGUAUAGAAAUAGAUGGGAUGAGAAAUUUUAUGCGACUACAUUUGUAUUGCCCGUGCUGAUCGCAGGAAGUUUAUAAUCAAGCCUACGAUUGUUAAUCCCGACAAAAAAUAAGACUUUAUCGUUAACUGAUUGCAAACUAUUUUAACUCAUAAGAAAAUAUACUUUUUAAAAAAUG
This is an RNA transcript of Hermetia illucens (black soldier fly), 1459 nucleotides long. It is a transcript of the gene named vascular endothelial growth factor D, with no coding region annotated. The record is from RefSeq and is a predicted model, not a curated record. The transcript has 10 exons. Lineage: Eukaryota; Metazoa; Arthropoda; Insecta; Diptera; Stratiomyidae.